RNAcentral lists this ribosomal RNA (257 nucleotides) under uncultured bacterium. RNAcentral's name for it is "partial 16S ribosomal RNA". It matches the Rfam family "Bacterial small subunit ribosomal RNA", at positions 57 to 305 of the family's 1533-position model. The record is from RNAcentral.
GCAAGUCGAGGGGCAGCGGGGAAAAGCUUGCUUUUCCGCCGGCGACCGGCGCACGGGUGCGCACCGCGUAUGGAACCUGCCUUGUACAGGGGAAUAGCCCAGGGAAACUUGGAUUAAUGCCCCGUAGUACCGUAUUUCGGCAUCGUUAUACGGUUAAAGCCUUCGGGCGGUACAAGAUGGCCAUGCGUCCCAUUAGCUUGUUGGUAAGGUAACGGCUCACCAAGGCAACGAUGGGUAGGGGGCCUGAGAGGGUGGUC